GAGUCUUUGACCUUGCUUUCAAAUAAUAAAUUUUAUGAAUAUGUUUCUGAAGGUUUACCAACUUUUUUUCUUUUCUCUCUUUUUCUACUCUGGUUUAUAGUUUGAAAAAGUACCAGAAGGUCCUAUCCCUCCAUCUACACCAAAGUUUGCAUAUGGAAAGGUCACUUUGGAAAAGUUAAAGACAGUGGGAGCAGCUCUGGACAUUCUGUGUCCCUCUGGGCCCAUCAAAAGCCUUUAUCCCUUGACAUUUAUCCAGGUGAAACAGGUAGGCCUUCAAAGGUAAUGCCUCGCCUUUUUUCUACUUGCAAAAGUGUGCUUUCUGCACUGCCUUGCAGUGCCCAUUCUGAAUUCAGGGGCCAAAAUGGUAAGCAAAUGCAUCAGAUCCCAGGUAAAUGAACCAUGAAUUUCCAGGCUCUCUUUAGCUUGAAGUGCUGCGUGGUGGGCUGAUCAUGCCUAUAUUUUUUGCCCCACUUCUUCUCACUCAUACAGGAGGUAGCCCAACCUGCUUCAACAUAAUUCUGUACAAGUUAUAAAUUGAGUUCACUGACCAAUCUAAUUAAUCUUUAUUACUAGGCAU
This 577-nucleotide long non-coding RNA is filed under the name Homo sapiens (human). RNAcentral describes it as "non-protein coding lnc-TMPPE-3:1". The record is from RNAcentral. Lineage: Eukaryota; Metazoa; Chordata; Mammalia; Primates; Hominidae.